AAGUCGUAACAAGGUUUCCGUAGGUGAACCUGCGGAAGGAUCAUUAACACGUAUCCAACGUUAAACCCCCCUGUGAACCUUCAUUGUGCUCCCACGCUUUGUUAGAAAGUGGCAAUCCCUGGUAAAUCAUCGCCGAACAGUUUUGAUUCAGGGACUUCUGCGAAGAGGGUGAAUGAGGCGAGGCAAUGGACCUGGCAUUCCUCUGCUUGUUGGUGUCUGAAAGUGUCACUAACUCUGUACGAAUGGCGACACGGCCGGCGACCGGGUCCCUGAGCUCUGCUCCCUAAUAACCUUUGCAUGAAAACGGGCCUGCGCUUAAUUGUGCGGCCACCAAACUCGAACAACUGUUAACAAUGGAUAUCUUGGUUCUC
This 371-nucleotide unclassified non-coding RNA is filed under the name fungal sp. RNAcentral's name for it is "partial internal transcribed spacer region". The stretch from base 1 to 46 matches the Rfam family "Eukaryotic small subunit ribosomal RNA", at positions 1786 to 1831 of the family's 1831-position model. The record is from RNAcentral. Lineage: Eukaryota; Fungi.